This 3540-nucleotide long non-coding RNA is filed under the name Homo sapiens (human). Its description in RNAcentral is "HSALNT0112799". The record is from RNAcentral. Lineage: Eukaryota; Metazoa; Chordata; Mammalia; Primates; Hominidae.
CUUAAGAGUAACUUGCUGUUAUCCUGCGUGCACACACUGCAGCCCAGCGCCACUAUUUGGGCGUUAGCUAGUUUUUUAAUCUGAGGCUUUGACUUCCUUUCAUCUUCCUGAAUCUGAUCUAGUUCAUCUUUAGAAAGUGCUUAAGGGACUGAGGAUCGCAAAGACUCACUCUAAAGAAGAUUAAGGCUUCCAGGUGAGAAGUACGGGGCUUCACAAUUGAGAAUCAGAGUGAAAAGGAGAAACUGGCCUUUAUUGAUUAUCGACUAUUAUCAGUCAUUCUUGGAUAAGAAAGAGCUGUGCAGAGCAGAUGAUGACUGAGAACACUAUAGAAGGCUGAGAAUUCCCUCUGCAGCAACCCUGACAAAUGAGCAUGGAACUUCAGGGAAAAUUUCUCCAGAAUAGUGAAGCUCAUUACCAGAGACCCACCCAGACAGCAAGAUGAAGCUUAACAAAAAAUAAAGGAAUGGCCUCCACUUGGAUUCAAAAUGAAAACUGCAAAAAUUUCAAGAUAAAAAGACCUCCAUAAUGAUAAAGAAACAACCUACAGCAAAAACCUUCAGCUGAGCCCAUCUUAUUUCUGCCACAGAAUUUUAGAAUUGGGUGUACAUGCACCUCAGCAGUAUUCUGAGCACCUGAGCAGUAUUCUUCCCUUUGAUAUCUACAGAAUUUUUUGGCCAACAUGUUUCCAGAAACAGAGAACCAUUCACGACUUUCCAAUAAAGCUAUUCCACAUUUAGACAAAUAUAUUCAAUGUUAAUACUAAAAGCUGCUCCCUAUUCCAAAUUCUCACAUCAUGCCUUAACUCUUGUCUUUGGGACAACUUAGACUGUUUAUUCCUUAACCACAAACAGUCCACCACAUACUUGAGGAAGAUUCCCAUAGCUACAGAACUCAACUCUUUCCCAAAUAAAAUUUACCUUCACUUUUCCCGGCAAGACAUUGAAAUCAAUUACUCUUCCCUGGUAGAAUGGAACUUCUAUGAGUAAAUAUGGGGCAUGCAUGUCAAGGAAAAGGUGGAUGUUAGCUUAAACAAAGAAGUGAGAUCCUGGGAGAAGUUCAACAUAUUGCAGUAUUUACCCUGAAAGACACUCAGUCUUAAAUAAAAAUAAAUCAAAUAUUUUAAUCUUCUUUUAACUCAUUCAUCCCAAUAUGACAAUGAAUUUUCAUAUAUCACUUUAAAUUCAUGACACACACAAGUCAAAUAUUGAACACUGAUUUUGAGUCAUUGCAGGGCACAAAAAUUGUGAGCUCUUUCAGACCCAAAAUAACACUACACAACCAAAUGCCCCCGUAACAAUUUUUCUCACAGUUAAUUUUAAGUAGUACUCAAAGACCAGUUAUAAAGCAGAGAAAACAGCAUCUUUUGCUAAGCAUUGCCAAGUUAGAAUACACAAGAAUAGAUGCAAAGAAUUCCACCAACCUUUGAGGGCUGCAAGGUUGCUGAAAGCCUUUCAGAAAACCCAUGGCCUAAAUCUACAGCCCAAAUGCAUUGCCAUAGCAUACAAUAAGUGGCUGUGGCAUGAUCAGUGAGGAGAGAGAGGACUCUGAUCAGUGAUUCUGAAGACAUCCCAGAGCAGGAAACAUGGAGCGUGGGUGGGCACCCACAAUCUCCCUGACAUAGGAGUCAAGCUGGCUCUAUGGAUUGAGCCCUGCUUCCCUGCCUGACAACAUCUCUGGAAGCAAAGCAGCAAACUUCCAUAGGCUUCAUGUUCUCCUCAAAUACCCAUGGUAGCCACCCCAUGGUAUGAAGAGUGGCAACACGUCUGGUCUAAGUCGGGAAACUGACACCCUCAGUGUCACCAUCAUUUCAACUCAAGGGGUCCAUUCACCUCCUUCCCAGCACAUUCUGAUAGCCUCUGCAGAGACGGCACCCUCAGACUUCAAUUCUUGAUCCCUACCACUUUAUAACUACAAUUUCUUUUGCAUUUGUAAAAUGCAGAUUUAAAACUAGAGAAUACAUUUCAUUUCAAGGAAACCUAGAAAAAACUAAAACAGAAACAAAACCAAAACCAUUCUUAUGUAAUUUACAUCUUGUAAUACAUGCUUCAUGAUGCGGACACUGUUGUGUUGGAUUUUCCUCCUCCUUACUUCUGCUGACCCACUCAGAAGAUCUCACUACAGAGCUUUCUAGAAGAGCAAAAACAAGUAUACACCACCUAAAAUGACACAUUUUAAUCAGGAAAUAUAAUCUUUUCCCUCUCACUUUUCCCCCUACCUAUAGACCAUAGGAAGCUUCCCAUGUCUCAGAGUGAACAUAAUGUUCAGAAUCUCAGCCGAAAGAAAAAUCAUACUUCUAUUCCUGAAAAUAAUGCUUUAAAAUAUCCAACAUUAGGUAACCAAAUAUCUAUUGAGCAUCUCUUAUGUACCAGGCAUUGUUCCAAGUGCUGGGGAUACAGGGAACAGAACAAAGAAAAAUGUGUAUGUGGGAUAAUAAUUACUAAGGAAGAGGGGGAGUGGGAUAGGAAGUGCUAGGGAGAGUAAGAUUGACCUGCAUCAGUGAGGAAAGACCUGAUAGAGGUGAGGGAUUUGUCCAAGCAGGGAAGGACAUUUGAAGCAGAGGGAACAGCAAGUGCAAAGGGUUUGAGGCCACAAGGUGUCUGGAGGCUCAAGGAACAAGGUGGAGGAUGUGGCUGUAGCUGAGGAAGAAGAUGGGGAAGAGAGGGAGCCAGAUCCUGUGAGGCUUGUGGUUCAACAGGAGGAAUUUUGGCUUCUACACUCAGUGAGAUGCAAAGCCAUGGCAGGGUUGUAAGCAGAAGCGCAGCAUGAACAGACUUCUCUUUCAACAGGAUCACGCUAACUACUUUGUGGAAAAUAUACUGCAGCUGGGAAAUUAUGGAAGCUCUGAGAUACAAGGCAGCUGAAAUGAUCUAGAAGGGAUGGCGGCUUGAGGCAAGGGAGAUCAACUUUUGGGAGGUGUAAAGAAGUGGAAUCCUGAAUAGGUUUUUGGUUUGUUUCUUUGUUUUUUGUUUUUCUAAGUAGCUUUUGAGGAGGAGUCAACAGAUUUCCUGACAGAUUAGAUGUGGAUCCUGAAAAAAUGAGAAACUUGAAGGAGAACUCCAAGACUUUUGCCCUGGGCAAUCAGAAGAAUGGAGUUGCCAUUAACUAAGAUAAGGAAUGUUGCAGGAAUUUUGGAGUGGAAAGAUAUCAGGAGUUCAAUUUUGCACAUAUUAAGGGGAGGAGUCUCUACAGUGUCAUCACUCCUGCUUUUACAAGAAUUCCAAGGCCAAGUUUGUGGAUUAACUUGGAAUGGGAGAGGAAAGAGGAAUUCCAAGGCAGGAUUACCUGGAUUCUGCAUGCUACUAAAGACCGCCACCCAUUUCUGCCCCAUACUCAGGCCAUGCAAGGGAGAGGGUAUAAAAUCUACUACUACUACUUGCUGCCUCUACAGUUCUCUGCUUAUGUCAGACAAAAGACUAUAGGAGAUACGUGGCUGAGGAAGCAGCAGAGAAAAAGUGUUACUUUCCUUAUUACACCUACCCAACAUUAAUUUAAGUCUCUUAAAGAGAAUGUAUGGAUGAUCCAGACACAAAAACUGUGAAA